Long non-coding RNA from Motacilla alba alba, 496 nucleotides. RefSeq lists it as uncharacterized. The record is from RefSeq and is a predicted model, not a curated record. The transcript has 3 exons. NCBI's taxonomy places the organism in Eukaryota, Metazoa, Chordata, Aves, Passeriformes, Motacillidae.
UCACAGCAUGAGCUGAUAUUCACAAAGCAGGAUAGCUUUCCUUGGGCUGCAGAUGUUCCUACUUUUGCCAGUGCCUUCUCUUUCUUUCAGAUGGAAAGAGUCUCCAGAGAUGUCACUUUUUUUAAGAUGUAUUCUUGUCCUGGCUUCCACUGUAUGGAAUUUGUGGCAGCUAUGAGAUCAGCUGGCAUGUCACUGCAUGGUGGCAGGAACCUCUGAGAAGAUGAGGGUGCCCAGGUGGAUCCUGACUUUCCUUUCAUGAGAGACAAAUCCAGGAAGACCUCCAGCUUUCUCCUUUCCCCUUUCCUGGAUGUUUCCUUCAGUGCUAAUCCAAAAAACUGUGAUGAAAGGAGAAGAGUGACCUGGAGAAAGUAACACAAUGCACCUGAAACUGGAACAAUGCAUCUUAGACAUACUAUUCACGUUUGAAAUGGAAAUAAAUAUGUCUGUGGUGAGUUUAUAACAAGUUUGCCGCCCUUUUUCAUCAUUACAAUAAUUU